AGAUUAAACAAUCAAGAGCGCAGGGUGGAUGCCUUGGCACUAAGAGCCGAAGAAAGACGUGAUAAGCUGCGAAAAGCUUUGGGGAGCUGCAAAUAAGCAUUGAUCCAGAGAUAUCUGAAUGGGGAAACCCGGCUGGAAAGACUCCAGUCAUCCAUACGCCAAUACAUAACGUAUGGAAGGGAACCCGGUGAACUGAAACAUCUAAGUAGCCGGAGGAAGAGAAAGAAAAAUCGAUUUCCAAAGUAGCGGCGAGCGAAAUGGAAAGAGGGCAAACCGAGAUGCGUGCAUUUCGGGGUUCGGACCGCAUAAUUGAUUCAAGAGUUUUAGCAGAAUGGUUUUGGGAAAGCCAGCCAAAGAGAGUGAAAGCCUCGUAAGCGAAAAGAUAAUUGACAUGGCGGUAUCCAGAGUAGGACGAGACACGUGAAACCUUGUCUGAACGCGCGGGGACCACCCCGUAACCCUAAAUACUUCUUAGUGACCGAUAGCGCAUAGUACUGUGAAGGAAAGGUGAAAAGAACCCCGGGAGGGGAGUGAAAGAGAACCUGAAACCCUGUGUUUACAAGCUGUCGAACCUCUUUAUAUGAGGAACGGCGUACUUUUUGUAGAACGGUCCGGCGAGUUACGAUUACUGGCAAGGUUAAGCACUAAAGGUGUGGAGCCGAAGGGAUACCAAGUCUGAAUAGGGCGAAUAGUCAGUGAUUGUAGACCCGAAACCGGGUGACCUAUCCAUGUCCAGGCUGAAGUUUCCGUAAAAGGAAAUGGAGGGCCGAAGCCACAUCCGUUGAAAAGGGUGGGCAUGAGGUGUGGAUAGCGGAGAAAUUCCAAUCGAACCCGGAGAUAGCUGGUUCUCCUCGAAAUAGCUUUAGGGCUAGCCUCGUAUUAGACUACUGGAGGUAGAGCACUGAAUUCUUAAGGGGGCGUCAAAGCUUACCAAGAGAUAUCAAACUCCGAAUGCCAGAUAGCCGAUGUACGGGAGUCAGACUAUACGAGAUAAGUUGGAUAGUCAAAAGGGAAACAGCCCAGACCUACAGCUAAGGUCCCAAAGUGUGUGUUAAGUGGUAAAGGAUGUGGGAUUUCAUAGACAACUAGGAUGUUGGCUCAGAAGCAGCCAUACAUUCAAAGAGUGCGUAACAGCUCACUAGUCGAGAGGUCCUGCGCCGAAAAUGUCCGGGGCUAAAACACAACACCGAAGCUUAGGAUUCAUACCUAGUAUGAGUGGUAGAGGAGCAUUCUUGCAACCGACGAAGCUGUACUGUAAAGAGCAGUGGAGGAACAAGAAGAGAGAAUGCCGGAAUGAGUAGCGAGAUGAAGGUGAGAAUCCUUCAGGCCGAAUAUCUAAGGUUUCCAGAGUAAAGCUGAUCUGCUCUGGGUAAGUCGGGGCCUAAGGCGAGGUCGAAAGACGUAGUCGAUGGAUAACAGGUUGAGAUUCCUGUACUGCAAUAAAUCAGAACUGUGGGGACGCAUGGACAAAGCUUAAGCCAGGAAUGGAAAUACUGGUGCAAGCGAGGUAGAGGAUUAGUUGGCAAAUCCGCUAAUCAACUCAAAGACGUGAUGCGGAGCGAAAUUAAAGUAGCGAAGUAAGUAGAGUCUGUGCCGAGAAAAGCCGCUAUUGUAUUUAUUGUACCCGUACCGUAAACCGACACAGGUGGAUGAGGAGAGAAUCCUAAGGCCGACGGAAGAAGCAUUGUUAAGGAAUUCGGCAAAAUGACCCCGUAACUUCGGGAGAAGGGGUGCCUGAUUAACGUCAGGCCGCAGAGAAUAGGCUCAAGCAACUGUUUAGCAAAAACACAGGUCUAUGCGAAACCGUAAGGUGAUGUAUAUGGGCUGACGCCUGCCCGGUGCUGGAAGGUUAAGAGGAGAGGUUAGCGCAAGCGAAGCUUUGAAUUUAAGCCCCAGUAAACGGCGGCCGUAACUAUAACGGUCCUAAGGUAGCGAAAUUCCUUGUCGGGUAAGUUCCGACCCGCACGAAAGGCGUAAUGAUUUGAGCACUGUCUCGACAAUGCAUCCGGUGAAAUUGAAGUACCAGUGAAGAUGCUGGUUACCCGCGCCAGGACGGAAAGACCCCAUGGAGCUUUACUCCAGUUUGGUACUGGGAUUCGGUACUGCAUGUACAGGAUAGGUGGGAGACUAAGAUUAUGGGACGCCAGUUUCAUAUGAGUCACUGUUGGGAUACCACCCUUGUAGUAUUGGAUUUCUAACCAGCCGCCGUUAUCCGGUGGUGGGACAAUGCCAGGCGGGGAGUUUGACUGGGGCGGUCGCCUCCGAAAGGGUAUCGGAGGCGCUCAAAGGUUCCCUCAGAAUGGUCGGAAACCAUUUGAAGAGUGCAAAGGCAGAAGGGAGCUUGACUGCGACACCGACGGGUGGAGCAGGUACGAAAGUAGGACUUAGUGAUCCGGUGGUAUAAAGUGGGAUUGCCAUCGCUCAACGGAUAAAAGCUACCCUGGGGAUAACAGGCUUAUCACUCCCAAGAGUUCACAUCGACGGAGUGGUUUGGCACCUCGAUGUCGGCUCAUCGCAUCCUGGGGCUGUAGCAGGUCCCAAGGGUUGGGCUGUUCGCCCAUUAAAGCGGUACGCGAGCUGGGUUCAGAACGUCGUGAGACAGUUCGGUCCCUAUCCGGCGCGGGCGGAGGAUAUUUGAGAGGAGCUGCCCCUAGUACGAGAGGACCGGGGUGGACGGACCACUGGUGUAUCAGCUGUCGACCAACGGCAUAGCUGAGUAGCCAAGUCUGGACGGGAUAAACGCUGAAGGCAUCUAAGCGUGAAGCCCCCCUCAAGAUGAGAUAUCCCCUCCUUCAAGGAGAUAAGAUCCCUUAAAGACGAUAAGGUAGAUAGGUUCAAGGUGUAAGUGUGGUAACACAUUCAGCUGAUGAAUACUAAUAGAUCGAAGGUUUAUUCUAAA
Molecule: ribosomal RNA, 2899 nt
Filed under: Pseudobutyrivibrio xylanivorans
Lineage: Bacteria; Bacillati; Bacillota; Clostridia; Lachnospirales; Lachnospiraceae
Description: 23S ribosomal RNA
Rfam family: Bacterial large subunit ribosomal RNA
Source: RNAcentral